GAUGAACGCUGGCGGCGUGCCUAAUACAUGCAAGUCGAGCGAACAGACGAGGAGCUUGCUCCUCUGACGUUAGCGGCGGACGGGUGAGUAACACGUGGAUAACCUACCUAUAAGACUGGGAUAACUUCGGGAAACCGGAGCUAAUACCGGAUAAUAUAUUGAACCGCAUGGUUCAAUAGUGAAAGACGGUUUUGCUGUCACUUAUAGAUGGAUCCGCGCCGCAUUAGCUAGUUGGUAAGGUAACGGCUUACCAAGGCAACGAUGCGUAGCCGACCUGAGAGGGUGACCGGCCACACUGGAACUGAGACACGGUCCAGACUCCUACGGGAGGCAGCAGUAGGGAAUCUUCCGCAAUGGGCGAAAGCUUGACGGAGCAACGCCGCGUGAGUGAUGAAGGUCUUCGGAUCGUAAAACUCUGUUAUUAGGGAAGAACAAAUGUGUAAGUAACUAGGCACGUCGUGACGGUACCUAAUCAGAAAGCCACGGCUAACUACG
Molecule: ribosomal RNA, 495 nt
Filed under: uncultured bacterium
Lineage: Bacteria
Description: partial 16S ribosomal RNA
Rfam family: Bacterial small subunit ribosomal RNA
Source: RNAcentral